GGGGAGUCAGGCCCCGGAGGCGCUAGGCGCCUGCGCCAGUGUGUAAAAUCGAUAUACCAUACUGGACGUCAACGGCCGGGCCGUGAACUCUCUCCCUACUCGUUUCACACCAACAACCCCACAGUUGGAAAUCUUUCAUCUUCUCGCCUUCUUCGUCCUCCCGCUAUAGCUCAUUCUUUUCCGGCAGAACAACACGCACACAACACACGCACUUCCACACAGAACGUAUUGAGGUUUAAAGCAGGGCUGUUAAAGCCCAGAGUUACAAUUCCAGCACCACUGCAGACCGCAGCACGUGGAUAACCCCACGCUGCUACACAUAUCAUCAUGAGGCUCAUGCGCCAUUCGGCUGGCGGCAGCCAAGUAUUCAUGCCGUGAACCCUGCUACUGCCCCUCACACACACCAACCCCCAAGCCACCCGCUGCUGCGUUACCACACGCCUCAAUGUGGAAACCUCCCUGCACUCGACCUACCUACCAACGUAUUUCCACCACCCCUACUCCCCAUGCAUGCGCAUACAUACACGCGAAGCAGUAACAUAACACAAGCAGUAAACACAAAGCAAGGAUGCUACGUGGAACGCGCCGCCACAUGAUCCGACGUCCAAACCCUGCUAUCCUGUCGGGUGGUGACAGUUCCC
RNAcentral lists this long non-coding RNA (641 nucleotides) under Volvox carteri. RNAcentral's name for it is "long non-coding RNA (VCAR_LNC003220)". Lineage: Eukaryota; Viridiplantae; Chlorophyta; Chlorophyceae; Chlamydomonadales; Volvocaceae. The record is from RNAcentral.